UACGUAGGGGGCUAGCGUUGUCCGGAAUCAUUGGGCGUAAGCGCGCGUAGGCGGCCCUGUUAGUCCGCUGUAAAAGUCAAAGGCUCAACCUUUGAAUGCCGGUGGAUACUGCAGGCUAGAGUCCGGAAGAGGCGAAGUGGAAUUCCUGGUGUAGCGGUGGAAUGCGCAGAUAUCAGGAGGAACACCAACGGCGAAGGCAGCUCCGCGGGGACGGUGACUGACGCUUAAGCGCGAAA
This 236-nucleotide ribosomal RNA is filed under the name uncultured bacterium. Its description in RNAcentral is "partial 16S ribosomal RNA". It matches the Rfam family "Bacterial small subunit ribosomal RNA", at positions 524 to 758 of the family's 1533-position model. The record is from RNAcentral.